Molecule: transfer RNA, 70 nt
Filed under: Camelus bactrianus (Bactrian camel)
Lineage: Eukaryota; Metazoa; Chordata; Mammalia; Artiodactyla; Camelidae
Also listed under: 2 other names
Rfam family: tRNA
About the family: Transfer RNA (tRNA) molecules are approximately 80 nucleotides in length. Their secondary structure includes four short double-helical elements and three loops (D, anti-codon, and T loops).
Source: Rfam by way of RNAcentral
GGGUAUAGCUCAGUGGUAGAGCACCUGCUUAGCAUGCAUGAGGUCCUGGGUUCAAUCCCCAGUACCUCCA